CCUGGCUUAGAUUGAACGCUGGCGGCAGGCCUAACACAUGCAAGUCGAACGGUAACAGGAAGCAGCUUGCUGCUUGCUGACGAGUGGCGGACGGGUGAGUAAUGUCUGGGAAACUGCCUGAUGAGGGGGGAUAACUACUGGAAACGGUAGCUAAUACCGCAUAACGUCGCAAGACCAAAGAGGGGGACCUUCGGGCCUCUUGCCAUCAGAUGUGCCCAGAUGGGAUUAGCUUGUUGGUGGGGUAACGGCUCACCAAGGCGACGAUCCCUAGCUGGUCUGAGAGGAUGACCAGCCACACUGGAACUGAGACACGGUCCAGACUCCUACGGGAGGCAGCAGUGGGGAAUAUUGCACAAUGGGCGCAAGCCUGAUGCAGCCAUGCCGCCGUGUAUGAAGAAGGCCUUCGGGUUGUAAAGUACUUUCAGCGGGGAGGAAGGUGUUGUGGUUAAUAACCACAGCAAUUGACGUUACCCGCAGAAGAAGCACCGGCUAACUCCGUGCCAGCCGCCGC
RNAcentral lists this ribosomal RNA (511 nucleotides) under uncultured bacterium. Its description in RNAcentral is "bacterial SSU rRNA". It matches the Rfam family "Bacterial small subunit ribosomal RNA", at positions 18 to 518 of the family's 1533-position model. The record is from RNAcentral.